RNAcentral lists this transfer RNA (56 nucleotides) under Bemisia emiliae. RNAcentral describes it as "tRNA-Ser". The record is from RNAcentral. Lineage: Eukaryota; Metazoa; Arthropoda; Insecta; Hemiptera; Aleyrodidae.
AAAUCAAUAAUCUAAUGUUUUGAAAGCAUUAAUUAGGUUGAAUGACCUUUGAUUUU